This 68-nucleotide transfer RNA is filed under the name Ophiocten ludwigi. Its description in RNAcentral is "tRNA-Ala". Lineage: Eukaryota; Metazoa; Echinodermata; Ophiuroidea; Amphilepidida; Ophiuridae. The record is from RNAcentral.
AUAGUGGUAGUUAAAUUAUAAUUUUGGAUUUGCACUCCUAGGUCGGGUAAAUAACUACCCCCUCUAUA